This 253-nucleotide ribosomal RNA is filed under the name uncultured bacterium. Its description in RNAcentral is "partial 16S ribosomal RNA". It matches the Rfam family "Bacterial small subunit ribosomal RNA", at positions 524 to 776 of the family's 1533-position model. The record is from RNAcentral.
UACGUAGGGUCCGAGCAUUGUCCGGAAUUAUUGGGCGUAAAGAGCUCGUAGGCGGUUUGUCGCGUCUGCUGUGAAAUCCCGAGGCUCAACCUCGGGCCUGCAGUGGGUACGGGCAGACUGGAGUGCGGUAGGGGAGAAUGGAAUUCCUGGUGUAGCGGUGGAAUGCGCAGAUAUCAGGAGGAACACCGGUGGCGAAGGCGGGUCUCUGGGCAGUAACUGACGCUGAGGAGCGAAAGCGUGGGGAGCGAACAGG